Molecule: non-coding RNA, 6499 nt
Organism: Coturnix japonica (Japanese quail)
Lineage: Eukaryota; Metazoa; Chordata; Aves; Galliformes; Phasianidae
Source: RefSeq, a predicted model, not a curated record
GGCGGGAAAAAAAAGGCGGGAAGGCGUCGGCUGGGGGAGCGCGUGCCGCCCUCUGAGGUGAUGGCCGCCAUGUUGGCGUCAGGGUGUUGUGUUGGGGUUUGCAUCUAUAUGUGGUGUUUUGCAAUGUUCUUGUAUGGAAAAUGGAAUUUCUCAUAGCACAACAUCUACGUCCUGGGCUCCUACAUUUGUCCACUACUGACUCAGACAAUAUUGCCUGUUUUAUUGCUAACGCUUUCUGCAGCAUCCUGGGUUUUCUUGGCAAGCAUCUCAUCCAAAUCACAACUGAUUUUUGGACCCUGCUUCGUUCCUUCAUUUCACAAACUGCUGCCUAUGGUGACAAAACAGCAGGAAGUAGAAAAUUAAGCUGGAUAUCUGUGAAAAUGAAGAGGUAAUCUUAGCAGUCCUUCGUAUCAACAGGAGCCCAAGCUUUGGCACUAGCAGAGCACACUAGAGAACAGUAAGUGCUGAUAUGGUUGGUGAUGAAAGGAAAAGCUUCUGAGAUCCGGGCUUCUUUGAACCAAGCAAGUCUGAGGAUUCACCAGGGACAGGAAAUGAGGAGUUUUUCUUCUGCAUCACUUUUCCUCAAAAAUUAAUUUGCAACAGAAUAGCAAAUACUGAGCUAGACAAGAGCCCAGUACUCCAACUGUUCCUUAACUAUGAAUCAAAUAAUAAUUAAAGACAUUUCUCAAGCUGUUGUACCAAUUAACUAAUCCUCAGUGUUGCACCAAGGAGGAAGGUACAGAGAGAUAAUUGUACAAAAGACUUGGGAAUCCAGGAUAAGAUUCACUCUAUGGAGCAUGGACAGAAAGUAUGAAUGAGCUUAAAGGGCUCAAAUAGCUGGGGAAGAAUAGAAAAGGUGAAUCAACUAAGAAGGCAGCAGAGGCCAAUGAAAAGUGAUGUAAAAGGGAAAAAGUAAAUGUGCAUUUCCAGUCUGGACCUUGCAGGGAAUAGCAGGUAUGGAUUCCUGAAGUAUCCACAAACUAAGAGCUGUUCGAUGUUCUAGUUACUGAGCUGUCAUCUUGUUCUGAAUCUGAUCCUAAGGCUACAAACUCUAGUACUUCGCUUUAAGGGAUGCUACUCUAAAAUGUCCUUACAGAACUAAUCAGAGCUAAUCAGUUCUUUGUUUAUACCUUCUCAUUAGCCGUCCUGCAAUGACUAUCACUGCAUUAAGUUACUGCAGCCAGAAUGGCAGUGAUGUGUAUUCCAGUGUUUCAUUUCAUCUCAAGUUGUGCUCAGUUAUUGCAUGGAAAAUUCUUUCCUGGAGAAGUGAUUUCAAAACCAAGCAUUCAGAAGUCACAAAGCCUGACCAGAAGUGAAGCUCUCCCUGUGAUAUUUUGGAUGUACUCUACAGAUGUAUCUAUAGAUUGCGGUCUUGUAACAUUAUCCUUAAACCAGAUAAAGUGAAGCUUAUGUUAAAACUAGUCACUUAAUUUAAAGCAUCCAACUGAUAGAAUCCAGGCCUCGUUACUUAGUGAAGAUUGUCAUUCAGUUGUACUUUUUGUGUUCUGACUUUUAGAUCUCUCCAGAUAUGGAUGUGAACCCUCCUGCCAGCCCAGCUGGUCAUACAGAAACACAGUUAGCUGCUGGGGUUACUGCAUGGCCACGCAGGGCAGAAAGGAGGGGCAGGAUCUGCCCAUCAGGGCAAGUCUUCUGUUUCUCAAUCCUAAGCCCAAGAUUUUGUUUUUCCUGCCACGUUCACUGUAAAACGAAUUAACAAAUUACAGCCUAUCACAUUCCCUAAAUGAGAUCUGCCAAGACCUUGGGAGAAAGUCACGCUACAGCUCUGAGAAUAACUUCAAUCAGGGAAGAAACUUGCAAAUUUUUUUUUUUCUCGAAAGCAGGUCCAGCUCUUCAAAGCCGAUAAUGAACCAGAGAGGCAAUAUUUGCCAGGAAAACAGUUUGCAUUGUUCUGAGAAGUGAUUUUUAAGAAGUUUAGCUAAUGAGUGUCAGGCGAUCAAACUGCCAGGAGAUACAAACUCAGCUGCCUGCUUUACCCGUGACCACAGAAGAUGGAGAUAAUGAUCUCUGCUGUUUAAAAGUACGCAGGGGCUGAGAUUUUAUUGCCUUGGAAUGUUUAAUUUCUCCAGCCUUAAAUGCCAUUUGCAUUUUAGUGUUUUUUUUUUUUUCCUUAAAAUACUUAAAACUGUAAACACCUCAUUGCUCAGUGACAUCCAGCUGUAGCAGAUUCAGUCUGAGGUAAUUACAGUCCUCCCUGUUCUUCACAUGCAUCUCCUCACCACUGCUGAAAUGCUGUUAGUUAUGCUCUAUAACUCUAAGUAUGAAAUGUUAUGAGAAUAUGUAUUUCCAACACACAUCCGCUCCCUCCUGCCCUGACACUGUGCACACGCUGAAACAGGACUCCAAAGCUGGCAUGUUUUUCCCCAGUAGAUGGCUGAUUUUCGUGUUCUUUUCAGUCUGAGAAGUCCGAUAGGAAUUCUUGUUUCCUUUGCAAGAGCAUGUGGAGGCCGGCGAGUUAAGCUCAAAUAACCACUGAGCCUUAACUGAGUGGCACAGAACAGAUCCCAGUUGUUCUGAACAUUUACCAUUAGGGGGAUGGGGUUUUCUUAGUAGUGUCUUUAAGACUGGUAACUCAUCAAUUUCAAAGCAGCACUGGUAGCUUUGCUAUCCCUCAAACUGUUGUCAUUUGAGUCUUUACUAUCCCAUAACCAGCAGAUUACCAGUGUUAAACACCGACAUGCACCUUGGAAUGCACACAGUACCACCUAACCUAUUCUAUAUGCACUCUAAACAUCAUUUUAAAGCACCUGUUGAUGGAAUUGCAGGAGGAACUCAUGAAGGCAAGGAAGAUGAAAGAAAAAGGAAAGCAGCUGCCAAGCCUUCCCCCCUGUGAACGCCAUGUCUCAGUUAGGUAUGAAAUAAAACUUCACCUUUCUUCAUUGAUACAUAAACGAGUUCCUCCUGGAGAGACAACAGGCACAAACACUGCCGCAGUGUUGUCUGCUGUUUAUUCUCAGUGUGAGAAUGACUUCUCAUCUCCCUGGAACCACCAGCAACUGACAGGGCUCCUAGGAGAAUUCUGGCAGAAAUGUUUUUGCAGACAUCAACCGCAGAGCCCAUGGCUGCUGCUGUGCAUGAAGGCAGCUAACUGUGUGAUCCCAGGACAAGAGGAUAGGCAGGUACACCCACACUUAUAGGCAUGUGGUUUGCAAUGGAGGGCUGUCCUGCUGUAGUCAUUGUCUCAAAGCUUUUAACAACUCCAGCAUAGUUCUCCUGAUGAUCAAAAAAUUAAGCAGAAUAAAAAUGGAGGAAGACCUUGACUUCAACAUUACACUUUUCCUGUAAACCAAGGACUUUGGAAGUACAGUUCUAUUGCCAAUUAGGCAAGGAGCAUUUUUUGUUGCUUUCUCUAUUUCAUGGAAACUAUUGAAAGAAGAGUUCCCCCUGCUGGUAAAUGCCUGAGUCAUAAAGGGACUCAGGGCUGGGACUUAAGACUCAGUGAAAAAAAGGCAGGAUGGAAUGGCUGCCUAAUUUGUAUGACCUUUGUGUUUUGUAUUUGCAGGUCUUUUUCUAAGACACUUAAAUUCAAAUCCUACGUGACUGAGUUCCCUUCGCCUCAAAGGAAGGUCUGUCAUCUGCUACCAAAGGAGGAAGCCUCAAGAUUUUGCUUUAGUAACUCCUUGGCAAGUCAGCUCCAACUAAAAACAUUAUUCACUUCAUCAGAAAUCUGAGCAUUCCAGCUGAAUUUCUGCCUUCUGCCCUCUGGUUGAAGACACUGCCGCUGUUUACAAGACAAGAACAAAGCCAACAGAACAGUUUAACAGCUAUUCCUCUGCAAAAGGUGCCUCCAAGAGGAACUAACACUUCUACUAAUACCAAGCAACACAGGAUGAAAACUUGAUUAGGUAGUAAACCCAGUUUCUUUGGACUUCCCUUGUAUUUAUCUGGAGGUAGCUGAAGUCAAGCAGGAACAUACAGCAGAAGCCACCAGGCAGGCUUCUGAGAAUGUGGUAAUCAGUCUGUCACUGGGGAGAGCUAUUGCAGCAGCCCUCCUGGCAGCUCACAGAGCUGGAGACCUGUUUUGUGGCAGCGCUGUUAAAAUCGGCCAUGAAAAAAGCCAGUGCUCAUUUGAAAAUAGCUUCUUGAAUUGCUUUUGCUGCCUCCUCUGGGAUCUCGCAGUACAUGAGGUCUGGAGCAAAGACAGCAAGCUGUCCAAAGAAAUCCAACAGAUUCAGGCUCAGGGUUAGCACAAGAGCCGACUUUAAGCAUUUCUUACUAAGAUGUGGAGGUGCAGCGAGAACCAAGUUGGAGCCAUACCAGGAAUAGGCUUUAGAGCUAAAGUGGGUCAAGGCAGCCUGCAGAAAUCAGGAGAGAAAAUCUCCUUUAUUUUCUUCCUUCUUGGCAGACUGAUCCUUAUGUCUGUGCUCUGAAUACAGACAAGCUGAAGAUACUGGGAAAGACAAAUCUUGGCUUAGAAAAUAGGCCCUAGAAAGCUCCCAGCUUUUUAAUUUCUGCUGGUCUUCCAGGCUGCUGCGGUGUGAGGGAGAGGACAGACAGAUCUGUGGGUCUGAGAAAACAUCCCUUGAGCCCACGGUAGCUUCUUUUUCGUGGUUAAGGAAUCAAUUAGCAGUGCAAAGUCUUUUCCUUCUUCCAAUUAGACACCCUUUCUGCUAGAGCUACAGCUGGACUCAGGGCAGAAAGAGAAGAACAGCUCAGGAAUAGAGACUGGUCUUCCUAACACCUACUCAAAAGUAGUUUGGAGGUUACCUCCUCCCACCCAGUCCUCAGGAAGCAACUUGGCUUGAGGUGCUGUAAAUUAAAGACAUCACAAACAGACUGACAAAGCAGUGGAGAAACGCUGGCGAUAUCUCAGUCCCUCAAUUUCUGAUCACACACUUCCUUAAGAGCAUCGGUGACUAAAGAACUACAGCUAACAAGCAAUCUGCUUCUGUGAAAUCAGAAGAGCUCUCUAUAGAGUUUGGAAAAGCAGUAACUUCACAGGUGAUGUGUCUGAAUAAUUUCCCUCAUCGUGUGGAGGAACGUGGCUGAGGAAGUGAUUUAUCCAGCAUUUCUCAGGUGUUUGUAUUUCACGCAGUGACAAAGGAGUUAUUCCUCCACUUACUUAACAGCAGGAAAAACAAGUCUGCAAAACUGUGGGUGUUUGUGUUGAUUCUGGUUGCUCAGUUUGAGCUCUACCCCUACACCAAGUCCUACAAACAGAGGUAAGAUGCCUUUACCAUUAAGACAACACUAUAAUUCCAAGCAAUCUAUGACACAGUACAAAGUCAUUCAAUUUUUCUGCUCCCUUUUAUGAAAUGGAAAUUAAUUACCUUAGACAUACUGUGAAGGAUAACAGCUCUCAGGGAAGCUGGGAUCUUCAUGCAGCAGCAGAUGCCAGCACAACGUUCAUCCAGCAGCAUCCAUGGAGUUCAAUCACAGGAGCUUUUAUUUCAUGGUUCUCUAUUACUGAGAACACGUUUGUUUGCUACUUAUCAUUUGACCUUUAAGGCAACACAAGUUAGCAAUGAGGUGAGAGUGACAGAAACCCUUUAAUAUCCUCAGGUUUAAUUCUGCAAGAAAUGUGUUGUUUGAGUAACGCUACAGGAGAACCAGACAGAUUGAAAUGAAAAACAAAUCUGAGGCCAAAAAAAUUUGUAAGAAAUACUGCAGGGGUGGGGGGUAGAAGGGGCUGGAAAGGGAGACUUACAACAGCCUCUCAGUAAAGAGAUCAAGAUCCCAUCUGGAGGGGCAAAAGGCCAAAGCCACAGAACAGAUGGAGACCAAGUGACAGCUGGUGGAAACGUGCUUUCAUGUGUAAAGUUUGUUCUGUGGAGAAUUCUGCUCUCCAACUCUGAAGGCAUCAUUAUGAUAACAGCUCCUCCCCCAUACAGCACUGGGGACCCGGUCUGCGCUCAGGAGCGGGUGUCAGCGAAAGCUCACCAUGAUGGCGGUUAAUUAACAAGGGCCCUUUCAACAUUUAGAAGCUGUUGUCACACAACCUUGGCACAAGUUUAGCAGCAGAGGAUCCUGUUCCUUCCUCUGCGGGGGGAGAUGAAAAGAAUUAAUUUUAACCCCGGUGGUUAAACAGAUUUUGUGUACGUUGUUACAUAUGCCAAGGGUUGCCUGUUCAGAAGGGUGAAGAAUACAUUGCAACACGUUGCGUUAAUGGCAGAAUGUCCAAUGGCUGCUCCAUGAGCUCCGUUAUGGAACAGAAAUAAACCAUAUAAUCGACCAGAAGAGAGGCUGAUCUUCAACACAGGCAUUUAAUCCUUCCCAGGCUGUACCAUGCUAACAUCAUUGUGACAGCCCUUUGUAGAGAAAGGUGAGCUCUGCCUCCCCACCAUCAGCCAAGUCCUACAAUUAAAGUCCUGGAGAAGCGGCCAUCGUUUCCUUUUCUUUAAUAAAGAUAUGAAGAUUUGUUUGUUUUGUUAAGGCAAGAAUGUCAUCCUGCUGCUAGGAUCUAUUACUGCACCUUUGAUUCCAGAAACAAACAGAACACUUUGAUUACGGUUAAAACUGAAACGAUUCGUAAUUAAAAAAA